GGGGAUGUACGAAUUGACGGGAGAGCACUUUGAAAACUGCAAGCCGAAGACGAUCGCUGGAAUUCGUUAAAAACGCGAUCAAAAAUUUAAGUGCUGGUCAUAAAACCACACUGACUGCGUACCUUGAGAAGCUUGAAAAAGCUCUCGCCGCUAAUAACAAAAGCAAUUUUGCUUUUGCCUAUCAGCAAGCAUACGCUUAAGUCCGUUUCUUUGAUCUUUUCUCGGUGAGAUCUCUGAAGCGUAACACAGCCGAGGUGCUUCCCGGCAACUUUGGUUUUAUUGCCGCGGAUUAAGAUUUAGUAACCACGUGAUAUUUUUCUUGCCCCGCCAGCGAGAAUAUCACAAAAUUCAGGCGGGGCUACGCUUGUAGAAGUUUAAAAGUCGCUCUUACCACACGGGAGGUCAUUCUCCCCAUCUCCACAC
This 423-nucleotide transfer-messenger RNA is filed under the name Patescibacteria group. Its description in RNAcentral is "f JAMCZE01 X3 Standard tmRNA". It matches the Rfam family "transfer-messenger RNA". Rfam says of the family: Bacterial tmRNA, also known as 10Sa RNA or SsrA, is named for its dual tRNA and mRNA-like properties. Its role is to liberate the mRNA from a stalled ribosome. To accomplish this part of the tmRNA is used as a reading frame that ends in a translation stop signal. The record is from RNAcentral. RNAcentral also lists the same sequence under 1 other name.